AACGAACGCUGGCGGCAGGCCUAACACAUGCAAGUCGAGCGCCCCGCAAGGGGAGCGGCGGACGGGUGAGUAACGCGUGGGAACGUACCCUUUGCUACGGAAUAGCCUCGGGAAACUGGGAGUAAUACCGUAUGUGCCCUUCGGGGGAAAGAUUUAUCGGCAAAGGAUCGGCCCGCGUUGGAUUAGGUAGUUGGUGGGGUAAUGGCCUACCAAGCCGACGAUCCAUAGCUGGUUUGAGAGGAUGAUCAGCCACACUGGGACUGAGACACGGCCCAGACUCCUACGGGAGGCAGCAGUGGGGAAUCUUAGACAAUGGGGGCAACCCUGAUCUAGCCAUGCCGCGUGAGUGAUGAAGGCCUUAGGGUUGUAAAGCUCUUUCAGCUGGGAAGAUAAUGACGGUACCAGCAGAAGAAGUCCCGGCUAACUCCGUGCCAGCAGCCGCAGUAAAGUACAGUGU
Molecule: ribosomal RNA, 457 nt
Filed under: uncultured bacterium
Lineage: Bacteria
Description: bacterial SSU rRNA
Rfam family: Bacterial small subunit ribosomal RNA
Source: RNAcentral